UUGAAAGGGAAACGAUUGAAGUCAGUCGUGCUGGCGCGAAAUCAACCCGCUCGUUGAGCGAUCACCUGCCGUGGCGAGCCUCAAAACCGCCACGACUCGUGAUCGCUUAACGGUCUGGUGCACUUUUGUGUCGGCUGGUUAACGUCAAUUUCUCACGUCAUAAAAAGGCUGGAGGGAUGUGGCUCCUUCGGGAGUGUUAUAACCUUUGGCGGAAUGUGGUGUUUGGGAUUGAGGAUUGCAACGAAUACCUUUAGGGCUGUUCCACCUGGCCUCUCAUUGGCAUCCUGGCGGCGACAGCUUGCUGACGUCGUUAGGGACCGCCUUCGAACAGGCUAGAGUGUGAGCAAAUUCGUUAAGGAUGUUGACGUA
RNAcentral lists this ribosomal RNA (369 nucleotides) under uncultured Glomeraceae. Its description in RNAcentral is "LSU rRNA". The record is from RNAcentral. Lineage: Eukaryota; Fungi; Glomeromycota; Glomeromycetes; Glomerales; Glomeraceae.